UGCAUAGGGAUGCAUUUGAUUUAUGGGUGUUGAUUUUAUUAUAUCCUGCUACUUUGCUGAAUUCAUUUAUUAGUUCUAAAAGUUUUCUGGUAGAAUUUUUUGGAUCCUCUGAAUAUAGAAUCAUGUCAUCAGCAAAUAGUGAUAGUUUUGAGUUCUUCUUUCCCUUUUUGUAUCCCUUUAAUUUCUUUCAUCUAAUUGCACUAGCUAGAGUUUCCAGGACUAUGUUGAAUUAAAGUGGUGAUAGAGGCAUCCCUGUCUUGUUCCAGUUUUUAGAGGGAAUGCUUUCAAUUUUUCUCCAUUUAGAAUGAUGUUGGCCUUUGGGUAUAGUAUAGAUAACUUUUACAAUGUUGAGGUAUAUACCUACUACCUCUAGUUUUUCUAGUAUCUUGAACAUGAAGCAGUACUCUAUUUUGUCAAAUUCUUUUUCUGUAUCUAUUGAGAUGAUCAUAUUAUUCUUGUCUUUAAGCCUAUUGAUGUGAUGAAUUACAUUUAUUGAUUUCUGUAAGUUGAACCAACAUUGCAUACAUGGAACUGAACCCCACUUGAUAGUUGUGCACUAUUUUUUAAAUAUAUUUUUGUAUGCAAUUUGCCAGAAUUUCAUUGAGAAUUUUUACAUCUGUGUUCUUCAGGGAUAUUGGUCUGAAGUUUUCUUUCCUUGAUGUGACUUUGUCUAGUUUUGGUAUCAGGGUGAUGCUAGCCUCAUAGAAUGAGUUUGGAAGGGUUCCCUCCUUUUCCAUAUCAUGGAAUAAUUUUAGGAGUAUUGAUGUUAAUUCUUCUUUGAAGGUCUUGUAGAACUCAGCUGAGAGUCCAUCCUUUUCUUAGUUGGUAGGUUUUUGAUGGCAUCUUCUGUUUUAUUGUUUGAAAUUGUUUAAAUUGUAUAUGUCCUCUUGAUUCAGUCUGGGUAUAUGUUUC
Molecule: long non-coding RNA, 912 nt
Filed under: Marmota monax (woodchuck)
Lineage: Eukaryota; Metazoa; Chordata; Mammalia; Rodentia; Sciuridae
Source: RNAcentral